RNAcentral lists this ribosomal RNA (440 nucleotides) under uncultured bacterium. RNAcentral's name for it is "partial 16S ribosomal RNA". It matches the Rfam family "Bacterial small subunit ribosomal RNA", at positions 338 to 795 of the family's 1533-position model. The record is from RNAcentral.
CCUACGGGGUGCUGCAGUGGGGGAUAUUGCACAAUGGGGGGAACCCUGAUGCAGCGACGCCGCGUGGGUGAAGAAGCGCCUCGGCGCGUAAAGCCCUGUCAGCAGGGAAGAAAAUGACGGUACCUGAAGAAGAAGCCCCGGCUAACUACGUGCCAGCAGCCGCGGGAAUACGUAGGGGGCAAGCGUUAUCCGGAUUUACUGGGUGUAAAGGGGGCGCAGACGGCGAUGCAAGCCAGGAGUGAAAGCCCGGGGCCCAACCCCGGGACUGCUCUUGUAACUGCGUGGCUGGAGUGCAGGAGGGGCAGGCGGAAUUCCUGGUGGAGCGGUGAAAUGCGUAGAUAUCAGGAGGAACACCGGUGGCGAAGGCGGCCUGCUGGACUGCAACUGACGUUGAGGCGCGAAAGCGUGGGGAGCAAACAGGAUUAGAUACCCCGGUAGUC